UAAAACCCUAAAAUCCUAAACCAUAAAUCCUAAAUUCUAAAAUUCUUUAGUAAAAUUAGACUGUUAUCGUCAAUUAAGCCCGAAAACCCUAAACCCUAAAACCCUAAAUCUUAAACCCUAACCCAACGGUUAUUAGUGGAAUUAAACUAACUAUGUUUAACUACUUAUUAGUGAUUUAACCAUAUCGAUUUCAACAUUUGUUUUUGAUGUUAUCUAUCGUAUUAAGAAUCUACCGAUGGUUAUUUGGCCAGAAAAUCAGAAAAACGAUAGUAAUUUAUAAGAAUCUAGAGCAUGCAAAUUAGGAAACAUGCAACAUUAUUAGAUCUAGUUGUUGCCGUUAAGUUUAA
This 347-nucleotide long non-coding RNA is filed under the name Ananas comosus (pineapple). Its description in RNAcentral is "long non-coding RNA (ACOM_LNC012761)". The record is from RNAcentral. Lineage: Eukaryota; Viridiplantae; Streptophyta; Magnoliopsida; Poales; Bromeliaceae.